UCUGACCUGCCAGGGAGUGCUGCAUCCUCACAGGAGUCAUGGUGCCUGUGGGUCGGAGCCGGAGCGUCAGAGCCACCCACGACCACCGGCACGCCCCCACCACAGGGCAGCGUGGUGUUGAGACAACACAGCCCUCAUCCCAACUAUGCACAUAGCUUCAGCCUGCACAGAUAGGGGAGUAGGGGACAGAGCAUUUGCUGAGAGGCCAGGAGCGCAUAGAUGGGACUCUGCUGAUGCCUGCUGAGUGAAUGAGGGAAAGGGCAGGGCCCGGGACUGGGGAAUCUGUAGGGUCAAUGGAGGAGUUCAGAGAAGGUGCAACAUUUCUGACCCCCUACAAGGUGCUUGCUACCUGCCAGGCACCCUUUCCAUACCUUGUCUCAGUUCAGCUCCCCACCUUGGAUAAACAAGAAACCUUGGUUGCAGAGGAAAAAAGAGGCUGGAAACAAAGGGGUAGAAAUGGGGUAGCAGGGGAGAUUGCCUGAUCAACUGCCAAAUGGUACACAGUUCUGGAAAAGCACAAAAAAUGUGCACACACGGGUUCUUCCCACUUUAACCCCUGAGGAAUCUGAGGCCUGCUCCUGAAACAGACUGGGCAGUGGCUAGUGACUCUAGGUAUAGGAGUAUCCAGCCCUGCUCACCCAGGCUAGAGCUUAGGGGGACAAGAGGAAAGAGGUGCCUGUGGGGGUGGAGGACAGGAAGGAAAAACACUCCUGGAAUUGCAAAGUGAGGGCAGAGUCUAUUUAUAUUGGGUUUAAUUAACUCCUCUCCCUGGUGCCACUAAAGCAGCAAUCACACUGCAGACAGCACUGAUUUGAUUGGCAAGAGAUGCACCAGGCAGAAUAUUAAGGGACCAGGCCCCUAUAAAUAGGCCUAAUCACAGCCCCUCACUGGAAAAUGGUAAGGAAGACAUUAAUCAGGCCUGGCACUGUGCCCUAGACCUGCUCCCCUAGGCACUACAGUGGGGCCCUUGGUUGCAACACAAGUAGGUAGGGAUGGAUGAGUGUGGCAUGAAGGGCCUAGGAGAUUUCACUUGGGUUUAAAAUGCUGUGACCUUGAGUAAGUUGCCGUCUCUGAAUCUGAUCCUUUCGAUUUCCCAUUCUCCAAACUGAGAACUAGCACUGCUGAGACGUGGUUAUUUCCAAUAAUAAUUUGUAUAUUUUACAUAACGCACCACACCAACAUCUUCACCCAGUUGGAGCCUACUCCUUUGCUCCCGCUGCUGGCUUCCCCAGCCCUCCCUUCUGCCCUCCUCAGGCCAGCACUUUUCAGUGAGUUCCUCCUUUGCAUACAGGCUUUCCAGAUCUGUACUUGCCUUGAAUACUCAUCAGAGCCCAGGAGUUACUCCUCACCUCCCACUUAUUUUUCCUCCCAUCAAAUAACUAAAGCAUGGCCAGCUGAUGCCCAGCCAACUGAGAAACCCAACCCUCUGAGACCAGCACACCCCUUUCAAGCAUGUUCCUCCCUCCCCUUCUUUGUAUUUAUACUGAUGCAAGUUUGCUGGCUGUCCUAACUUAUUUCUGUGCCUCAGUUCUCCCAUAUGUAAGAUCACAAAGGGGGUAAAGAUGCAAGAUAUUUCCUGUGCACAUCUUCAGAUGAAUUUCUUGUUAGUGUGUGUGUGUUUGCUCACACAUAUGCGUGAAAGAAGAGUACAUACACAGAUCUCCUCAAAAAGGAGGCAGCAAGCCCGUUCAAGAAUGGGACUGAAUACACCUGAUGAGUGGUUUACUUUCUGUCUGCAAACAUCUACUGAUCAUCUGUUAGGUGCAGGCCAUGAUCACAACAAAGACGAAUAAGACACUACACUAGCCAGGGAGAGUCUCAAAAACAACUAAACUCAAAUUAAAUUCAUUCUACUCCAGUCAUGGGUACAAAGCUAAGGAGUGACAAAUCCCUCUUGGAGUUAGGGGAGUCAGGAAAAAGCUCUUAGCAGAAUGUGUGCCUCUCGGCCGGGCGCAGCGGCUCACGCCUGUAAUCCCAGCACUUUGGGAGGCGAAGGCAGGCAGAUCACCUGAGGUCGGGAGUUCGAGACCAGUCUGACCAACAUGGUGAAACUCCAUCUCUACUAAAAAUACAAAAUUAGCCAGGCGUGGUGGUGCAUGCCUGUAAUCCCCGCUACUCGGGAGGCUGAGGAAGGAGAAUCACUUGAACCGGGAAGGUGGAGGUUGCAGUGUGCCAAGAUCGCGCCAUGGCACUCCAGCCUAGGCAACGAGGGUGAACCAGGUCCAGGAAGAAGGUGCAAAGACAGCAUUCCAGGUAAAAGAAACAGCUUGAACAAAAAGUGUGUAGGGGAACCGCAAGCGGUCUUGAGUGCUGAGGGUACAAUCAUCCUUGGGGAAGUACUAGAAGAAAGAAUGAUAAACAGAGGCCAGUUUGUUAAAAACACUCAAAAUUAAAGCUAGGAGUUUGGACUUGUGGCAGGAAUGAAAUCCUUAGACCUGUGCUGUCCAAUAUGGUAGCCACCAGGCACAUGCAGCCACUGAGCACUUGAAAUGUGGAUAGUCUGAAUUGAGAUGUGCCAUAAGUGUAAAAUAUGCACCAAAUUUCAAAGGCUAGAAAAAAAGAAUGUAAAAUAUCUUAUUAUUUUAUAUUGAUUACGUGCUAAAAUAACCAUAUUUGGGAUAUACUGGAUUUUAAAAAUAUAUCACUAAUUUCAUCUGUUUCUUUUUACUUUUAGAAAUCACAUAUGUGACUUAAAUAUUUCUUUUCUUUUUCUUUCCUCUCACUCAGCGUCCUGUGAUUCCAAAGAAAUGAGUCUCUGCUGUUUUUGGGCAGCAGAUAUCCUAGAAUGGAC
Molecule: long non-coding RNA, 2791 nt
Filed under: Homo sapiens (human)
Lineage: Eukaryota; Metazoa; Chordata; Mammalia; Primates; Hominidae
Description: HSALNT0253918
Source: RNAcentral